This 495-nucleotide ribosomal RNA is filed under the name uncultured bacterium. RNAcentral describes it as "bacterial SSU rRNA". It matches the Rfam family "Bacterial small subunit ribosomal RNA", at positions 15 to 507 of the family's 1533-position model. The record is from RNAcentral.
GAUCCUGGCUCAGAUUGAACGCUGGCGGCAUGCCUUACACAUGCAAGUCGAACGGUAACGGGCCUUCGGGUGCCGACGAGUGGCGAACGGGUGAGUAAUGCAUCGGAACGUACCUUUCAGUGGGGGAUAACGUAGCGAAAGUUACGCUAAUACCGCAUAUUCUGUGAGCAGGAAAGCAGGGGAUCGCAAGACCUUGCGCUGAUUGAGCGGCCGAUGUCAGAUUAGCUAGUUGGUGAGGUAAAGGCUCACCAAGGCGACGAUCUGUAGCGGGUCUGAGAGGAUGAUCCGCCACACUGGAACUGAGACACGGUCCAGACUCCUACGGGAGGCAGCAGUGGGGAAUUUUGGACAAUGGGGGCAACCCUGAUCCAGCCAUGCCGCGUGAGUGAAGAAGGCCUUCGGGUUGUAAAGCUCUUUCGGCCGGGAAGAAAUCGCAUGGGUUAAUACCCUGUGCGGAUGACGGUACCGGCAUAAGAAGCACCGGCUAACUACGUG